Molecule: ribosomal RNA, 500 nt
Filed under: uncultured bacterium
Lineage: Bacteria
Description: partial 16S ribosomal RNA
Rfam family: Bacterial small subunit ribosomal RNA
Source: RNAcentral
AUUGAACGCUGGCGGCAGGCCUAACACAUGCAAGUCGAGCGGAUGACGGGAGCUUGCUCCUUGAUUCAGCGGCGGACGGGUGAGUAAUGCCUAGGAAUCUGCCUGGUAGUGGGGGACAACGUUUCGAAAGGAACGCUAAUACCGCAUACGUCCUACGGGAGAAAGCAGGGGACCUUCGGGCCUUGCGCUAUCAGAUGAGCCUAGGUCGGAUUAGCUAGUUGGUGGGGUAAUGGCUCACCAAGGCGACGAUCUGUAACUGGUCUGAGAGGAUGAUCAGUCACACUGGAACUGAGACACGGUCCAGACUCCUACGGGAGGCAGCAGUGGGGAAUAUUGGACAAUGGGCGAAAGCCUGAUUCAGCCAUGCCGCGUGUGUGAAGAAGGUCUUCGGAUUGUAAAGCACUUUAAGUUGGGAGGAAGGGCAGUAAGUUAAUACCUUGCUGUUUUGACGUUACCGACAGAAUAAGCACCGGCUAACUCUGUGCCAGCAGCCGCAGUAA